Molecule: transfer RNA, 71 nt
Filed under: Marmota monax (woodchuck)
Lineage: Eukaryota; Metazoa; Chordata; Mammalia; Rodentia; Sciuridae
Description: tRNA.Ala
Rfam family: tRNA
About the family: Transfer RNA (tRNA) molecules are approximately 80 nucleotides in length. Their secondary structure includes four short double-helical elements and three loops (D, anti-codon, and T loops). Further hydrogen bonds mediate the characteristic L-shaped molecular structure. tRNAs have two regions of fundamental functional importance: the anti-codon, which is responsible for specific mRNA codon recognition, and the 3' end, to which the tRNAs corresponding amino acid is attached (by aminoacyl-tRNA synthetases). tRNAs cope with the degeneracy of the genetic code in two manners: having more than one tRNA (with a specific anti-codon) for a particular amino acid; and 'wobble' base-pairing, i.e. permitting non-standard base-pairing at the 3rd anti-codon position.
Source: RNAcentral
GGGAUGUAGCUCAAUGGUAGAGUGUUUGCCUAGCAUACACAAGUCCUUGGGUUCCAUCCCCAGCACUACCA